GAUGAACGCUGGCGGCGUGCCUAAUACAUGCAAGUCGAGCGAACGUUCUCUAGUCUUUCUUCUCUGAUGUUUUCGCCGGACACGUGAGUAACACGUGUAUAACCCCCCUCUCAGACUCUGAUACCUUCAUUAAACAGGAUCUCUUACCGCAUAAUAUUUUAAUCCUCGUGUUUCAAAUGUUUAAGACUUUCUUAUUCUAACUUUUUGAUAUAUCUGCGCUGCAUUAGCUAGAUGGUAGGGUAAAGGCUCACCAAGGCAACGAUGCAUAGCCGACCUGAGAGGGUGAUCGGCCACACUGGAACUGAGACACGGUCCAGACUCCUACGGGAGGCAGCAGUAGGGAAUCUUCCGCAAUGGGCGAAAGCCUGACGGAGCAACGCCGCGUGAGUGAUGAAGGUUUUCGGAUCGUAAAGCUCUGUUAUUAGGGAAGAACAUAUGUGUAAGAAACAGAGAAGAAAGUGACGGUACCUAAUCAGAAAGCCACGGCUAACUACGUG
This 497-nucleotide ribosomal RNA is filed under the name uncultured bacterium. RNAcentral's name for it is "partial 16S ribosomal RNA". It matches the Rfam family "Bacterial small subunit ribosomal RNA", at positions 28 to 507 of the family's 1533-position model. The record is from RNAcentral.